RNAcentral lists this ribosomal RNA (491 nucleotides) under uncultured bacterium. RNAcentral's name for it is "partial 16S ribosomal RNA". It matches the Rfam family "Bacterial small subunit ribosomal RNA", at positions 29 to 507 of the family's 1533-position model. The record is from RNAcentral.
AGUGAACGCUGGCGGUAGGCCUAACACAUGCAAGUCGAACGGCAGCACAGUAAGAGCUUGCUCUUACGGGUGGCGAGUGGCGGACGGGUGAGGAAUACAUCGGAAUCUACUUUUUCGUGGGGGAUAACGUAGGGAAACUUACGCUAAUACCGCAUACGACCUACGGGUGAAAGCAGGGGAUCUUCGGACCUUGCGCGAUUGAAUGAGCCGAUGUCGGAUUAGCUAGUUGGCGGGGUAAAGGCCCACCAAGGCGACGAUCCGUAGCUGGUCUGAGAGGAUGAUCAGCCAAACUGGAACUGAGAAACGGUCCAGACUCCUACGGGAGGCAGAAGUGGGAAUAUUGGACAAUGGGCGCAAGCCUGAUCCAGCCAUACCGCGUGGGUGAAGAAGGCCUUCGGGUUGUAAAGCCCUUUUGUUGGGAAAGAAAAGCAGCAGGUUAAUACCCCGCUGUUCUGACGGUACCCAAAGAAUAAGCACCGGCUAACUUCGUG